Long non-coding RNA from Bombus impatiens (common eastern bumble bee), 855 nucleotides. RefSeq lists it as uncharacterized. The transcript has 2 exons. The record is from RefSeq and is a predicted model, not a curated record. NCBI's taxonomy places the organism in Eukaryota, Metazoa, Arthropoda, Insecta, Hymenoptera, Apidae.
AAAAUGUAUCAACGCGGUACUCUUAAUUGGUCCGCCAUCUUCUUUGAUUCAUUCGUUCGUAUUUUUUAUUUUCUUCGUCAAUGAUUCAUCGGAGUUGUUUUAUACUCUCCGCCUUUAUAGAAUUGUGAAUUUAUCUCACUAGAAAUAGAUCUCGAUCGAUAUAUUUCUUAGAAAUUGCGCCACAUCGAUAAAUUUAAUGACAAUUUUUCCAAACUUUCCCGCCAUUUUUCUGAGCAUGUAUUACUACGCCUCAUGGUAGAAGGGAUGAAUGUAGAUGUUUUUGUCGCAGUGAAAAAUAGUUCCAGGUACUUGCGAACGAACAGCCUCCCCCUUGAUAUGCUACGUCCCCAUUUAAAAAAAUCAAUACUUAAUAAUUAGCAAUUAAUACACUUUCCAAGUAUACAUAUACAACUGCUAUCUUAUUUUCUGCAGUUUUUAAUGAGAAUUAUGCUCUUAAGGUUAAUAGAUAAACGAAUGUUUCGAACAUAAGUUAUUUUUAUGAAUUUAUAUCAUUUGUCUCAGUAACAAAAAUUAAAUUUUGCUUCAUACAAAAAAUACAAGUAAUUAACCAAUUAACUCAUACCUUUUAUUGAAUAAAAAAUACAAUUAAGGUGAAUAAUUGAAUAUAAACGGAAUUAUCGUAUAUACGCAUUAUCUCAUCAUUACUUAAUAAACAUAUCUUUUAAUAUAAUUUGUACUGUAAUGUUUAACAGAAAUAUAUAUAAAUCAAAAGUGAAAUAUAUUUAAUGAAACAUGUUAUUGUUGUAACAUGGUAAUUUGUUAAUGUAUUAAGCAUAUAUUUAUUAAAUAAGUAUGAACUAUUAAUAAAAAUCACGAAAUUGAUUAAUUUAUAAA